UUCAGAUUUGUUUGAGGCUGAACUUGCAGGUACAAAUAGAGAGGUCAACAUGCUAUUUUCCAAAUACUCUGAAGUGUUGAGGUCUGCAAGGACAAAGUCCAGACAAUAUUAUUACCCCAAAACAUCUGAAGACCUACAAAGCAAAAACAGCAGAUAGAUAUUAAAGCAGAACUAGAAAUUGUAUUAAAGGAGCUUGUGAGGAUUAAUAAACCUAAAAUAAAUGACUCUUUUAGAUUUUUUUUAUUUUACAAAGUGAAUAGUCAUAUGUUCUAAAGAUGAGAUGAAAAUAAAUGAGGCAAUAUACAGUCUGGCUACAAAACGUUUUAACCCUCAUUGGAGAACAUCAACUUACCUGUAUUGCUU
Oncorhynchus nerka (sockeye salmon) is the source of this 363-nucleotide long non-coding RNA. RefSeq lists it as uncharacterized. NCBI's taxonomy places the organism in Eukaryota, Metazoa, Chordata, Actinopteri, Salmoniformes, Salmonidae. The record is from RefSeq and is a predicted model, not a curated record. The transcript is spliced from 3 exons.